UCAGAACGAACGCUGGCGGCGCGUAUUAAGCAUGCAAGUCGAACGGGAACCCGGGGGCGAACCCUGGGGGAGAGUGGCGAACGGGUGAGUAACACGGUAGGUGAUCCUAGUCCCUGGGUGGGGUAUAGCCCAUGGAAACAUGGGGUAAUACCGCAUGAGGUCCUGGAGCUUGAAGGCUUCUGGAUGAAAGGCGCAAUUGGGUUGCCUGGGGAUGAGCCUGCGGCUCAUUAGCUAGUUGGCGGGUAAGGGCCCACCAAGGCGACGAUGGGUAGCCGGCCUGAGAGGGUGUACGGCCACACUGGGACUGAGACACGGCCCAGACUCCUACGGGAGGCAGCAGCUAAGAAUCUUCCGCAAUGGGCGAAAGCCUGACGGAGCGACGCCGCGUGGACGAAGAAGGCCGCAAGGUUGUAAAGUCCUUUUGCAGACGAAGAAUAAGGUCCGGAGUGGAAAGCCGGGUCGAUGACGUUAGUCUGCGAAUAAGCCCCGGCCAAUUACGUGCCAGCCGCCGC
Molecule: ribosomal RNA, 512 nt
Filed under: uncultured bacterium
Lineage: Bacteria
Description: bacterial SSU rRNA
Rfam family: Bacterial small subunit ribosomal RNA
Source: RNAcentral